Molecule: ribosomal RNA, 440 nt
Filed under: uncultured Clostridiaceae bacterium
Lineage: Bacteria; Bacillati; Bacillota; Clostridia; Eubacteriales; Clostridiaceae
Description: bacterial SSU rRNA
Rfam family: Bacterial small subunit ribosomal RNA
Source: RNAcentral
CCUACGGGGGGCUGCAGUGGGGAAUAUUGCACAAUGGGGGAAACCCUGAUGCAGCAACGCCGCGUGAGUGAUGACGGCCUUCGGGUUGUAAAGCUCUGUCUUCAGGGACGAUAAUGACGGUACCUGAGGAGGAAGCCACGGCUAACUACGUGCCAGCAGCCGCGGUAAUACGUAGGUGGCGAGCGUUGUCCGGAUUUACUGGGCGUAAAGGGAGCGUAGGCGGACUUUUAAGUGAGAUGUGAAAUACCCGGGCUCAACUUGGGUGCUGCAUUUCAAACUGGAAGUCUAGAGUGCAGGAGAGGAGAAUGGAAUUCCUAGUGUAGCGGUGAAAUGCGUAGAGAUUAGGAAGAACACCAGUGGCGAAGGCGAUUCUCUGGACUGUAACUGACGCUGAGGCUCGAAAGCGUGGGGAGCAAACAGGAUUAGAUACCCGUGUAGUC